AUAAGUCUUAGAUAAACCCUAUAUUUUUUUUCAUUUUUCUUCCCAUUUUAUCCUCCUCUCCUUACAUCCCGGAAUAUCUACAUCAGUUUCUUCUUCACCUGAAGAGUUCUCUUUCAAUCUACCUUUAUGAUUGAAUCUCUACAGCCACAACAUCAAUUGUUACUGGAAGAAUUUAAUUCCCUUGUUUGUAUUUCAAGAUAUGGUGAACAAUAGGGCUAAAUCCCCCAUCCUACAUGCUUUAUUUCUCCAGUAAUCUAGCUGUUCGAUUCAUGUAGAACUUGGACUACGAGAGAAAGAUGUUAAGAUCAGGAUGUUGAAGUUGAGCCCUAAUUUAUUUCAUAAUUUUUCGAACAACCUACACCAGUGUCGUGAUUCCAGCAACCGGCCCUGUCUUCGCGUUGCGGAACCAGUUAGACGGCUUAUGGAUGCAGGUAUAUCAAUCUACCACCAGAAGUUUUCGAAGACGGCUUUUGUGUGGUGUUGAAAUAGGAGAAAAUUACUUAUACACAGCCUACAGGUCAUCCUCAUUUUGAAGAAUCUCCGCUGCAAUAGGUUACGAGGUUUUAUAUAGCGCAAGGCGCACCAGUUACAUAGGGUCUAAAUUCUAGAACCAUGGCGUAAGGCUCAGAAGCAAACCGCUUUGUGUACGAGAAGGAAUAAAUUGGUUACAAUUUUGACAUCUACCUGACUUGGUUUUAGAGUUGGCUAAAGUUAGUGCCAGUAGUUGGCUAAUACGUAAAGCGACCGAAAGAUGAACAGAUUUUGAAGGCUUUACUUGCUGCUCAUGCUUUGCUUCAACGGUUAACUCAAUCGUUCAUCUAUACGUUUCAACCAAUUUAUUUUCCAAUACAUCUCUCUUGGCAAUUAAGGUAAUCGUUCAAACUAGCUGAGUUGGUUGACCUGCAAGCGCUUUAUUUUCUCAAUACUUAUUUCACUUGGCGUUUUAACAGUGUAAAUUUAUAUUAUUGAGUAAAAUAUGUAAUAGGUUGCAUGCUUAAAAAGUAGAGUUUAGGCAACUAACUCAUUUCACCCGCUUCUCUUUUAACUAUUUUCUAUUUUUACCCGUUUGAGAAAAAACACAUCACAGAUUGCAGUAGUUAACACCUUUGGGGUAAUACAUUCAUAACGCAAUGGGUUGAGAUGGCCACCUGUUUUUGACGAGUUAACUAAUCUACUUACUUGGUCAUUUCUACACUUAACCAAUGGUGGUUACAUGUUUAUGAACUGAGGGGUUUGUCUUAACUUCUGUUGUCCAAGAGCUUUUGGGUGAUAAGAAAUGGUAAGAUGUAAUACGAGUUUUUUUAUAAGAGUGUCUCUUACAUGUAACUACUUUUACAAUUUUUUUGUUAUUUUUUGGUAUUACUUUCUUCUUAUUUUUUCCAAUUUUAAAGACAAAUAUGAAUCAGCAAUUUUUCGUGGAAAUGACAAAAAAUGCAUCAGAUAGAGAU
This 1448-nucleotide long non-coding RNA is filed under the name Helianthus annuus (common sunflower). Lineage: Eukaryota; Viridiplantae; Streptophyta; Magnoliopsida; Asterales; Asteraceae. The record is from RNAcentral.